GGACACACACACACACACACAUAUGCAUGUAUAUAUAUUGUUUAAUAUGCUCUAAGUGACGGAAUAAAUGGAAAAAUUUUAAUAUUAAAAAGAAUAGAAAAGAAGCAUGCUUCUUGACAACAUUUCAAGCACUAUAAUAAGUUGUCCAUCCAAAUGAAUUAUUUAAAUUUCAGAUCAUAAAUACAUAUUAAAAAGCAUAGUAAACUUAAAGCAGAAUUGAGUCAUUGACAACCCUGUAUUAUUGCCUACACCUUAAGCAGCUAACAACUGACAGGCAAUACGCAUAGCCUAGUGGUAACCACGUUAAUACUUAAAAAAGGAGAUAUCUGGUACUAAUUCCCUGUUCGCCUAACUGUAGUCAAAAUCUAAGCUAUUCAAUCAUGGAUAUUUAACUAGCAAGAAAAAAAUACUGAGACACUAAACCUACUGGUAGUUUUGAUGGAAAGCAACCCAUCUGCAGCAGAAGGAAGUCAAAUAAUCAUGAAACAUAAAUAUUUAUAAAGAUUUUUGUAUCUAGAAUCAAAUGAGCUCACCAUCAUCAUCAUCCACUUACCCCAAUUUUCCGUUCCAAUACCUUCUCUGUUGCACUUAACGUCUUGAAACUCCUCCAAGCAACUACCGG
RNAcentral lists this long non-coding RNA (622 nucleotides) under Gossypium barbadense (sea-island cotton). RNAcentral's name for it is "long non-coding RNA (GBAR_LNC013590)". The record is from RNAcentral. Lineage: Eukaryota; Viridiplantae; Streptophyta; Magnoliopsida; Malvales; Malvaceae.